Molecule: ribosomal RNA, 468 nt
Filed under: uncultured bacterium
Lineage: Bacteria
Description: partial 16S ribosomal RNA
Rfam family: Bacterial small subunit ribosomal RNA (bases 20-332)
Source: RNAcentral
GACGAACGCUGGCGGCGUGCUUAACACAUGCAAGUCGAACGGAAAGGCCCUGCUUUUGUGGGGUGCUCGAGUGGCGAACGGGUGAGUAACACGUGAGUAACCUGCCCUUGACUUUGGGAUAACUUCAGGAAACUGGGGCUAAUACCGGAUAGGAGCUCCUGCUGCAUGGUGGGGGUUGGAAAGUUUCGGCGGUUGGGGAUGGACUCGCGGCUUAUCAGCUUGUUGGUGGGGUAGUGGCUUACCAAGGCUUUGACGGGUAGCCGGCCUGAGAGGGUGACCGGGCAGGUGGGGCAGAAGGUCCGGAGAGGGGGGAUACGGGAGGGAGCAGGGGGGCGGGUGGGAGGAGGGGCGGAGGGUUGAGGAAGGAGUGCGGGGGGUGGGAAGACGGCCGGAGGGUUGGAGAAAGAAGUCGCCGGGGACAAAGCGUGAGAGACGUGGAGGGGAAAAGAGGCAGAGGAUAACUACGUG